CCUACGGGUGGCAGCAGUGGGGAAUCUUGCACAAUGGGGGAAACCCUGAUGCAGCGACGCCGCGUGAGUGAUGAAGUAUUUCGGUAUGUAAAGCUCCAUCUGCAUGGAAGUAAAUGACGGUACGUGAUUAAGAAUCCACGGCUAACUACGUUCCAGCAGCCGCGGUAAUACGUCGGGGGCCAGCGUUAUCCGGAUGUACUGGGUGUAAAGGGAGCGUAGAUGGGAGCACAAGUCUGGAGUGAAAUGCUGGGGCUUAACCCCGGAACUGCUUUGGAAACUGUGCAGCUAGAGUGCAGGAGAGGUAAGUGGAAUUCGUGGUGUAGCGGUGAAAUGCGUAGAUAGUAGGAGGAACACCAGUGGCGAAGGCAGCUUACUGGACUGUAACUGACGUUGAGGCUCGAAAGCGUGGGGAGCAAACAGGAUUAGAUACCCGAGUAGUC
Molecule: ribosomal RNA, 440 nt
Filed under: uncultured bacterium
Lineage: Bacteria
Description: partial 16S ribosomal RNA
Rfam family: Bacterial small subunit ribosomal RNA
Source: RNAcentral